AGAGUUUGAUCCUGGCUCAGAGCGAACGCUGGCGGCAGGCUUACCACAUUGGCAAAGUCGAAGCGGGCGUAGCAAUACGUCAGCGGCAGACGGGUGAGUAACGCGUGGGAACGUACCUUUUGGUUCGGAACAACACAGGGAAACUUGUGCUAAUACCGGAUAAGCCCUUACGGGGAAAGAUUUAUCGCCGAAAGAUCGGCCCGCGUCUGAUUAGCUAGUUGGUGAGGUAAUGGCUCACCAAGGCGACGAUCAGUAGCUGGUCUGAGAGGAUGAUCAGCCACAUUGGGACUGAGACACGGCCCAAACUCCUACGGGAGGCAGCAGUGGGGAAUAUUGGACAAUGGGGGCAACCCUGAUCCAGCCAUGCCGCGUGAGUGAUGAAGGCCCUAGGGUUGUAAAGCUCUUUUGUGCGGGAAGAUAAUGACGGUACCGCAAGAAUAAGCCCCGGCUAACUUCGUGCCAGCAGCCGCGGUAAUACGAAGGGGGCUAGCGUUGCUCGGAAUCACUGGGCGUAAAGGGUGCGUAGGCGGGUCUUUAAGUCAGGGGUGAAAUCCUGGAGCUCAACUCCAGAACUGCCUUUGAUACUGAAAAUC
RNAcentral lists this ribosomal RNA (593 nucleotides) under Bradyrhizobium sp. PRB-1. RNAcentral describes it as "bacterial SSU rRNA". It matches the Rfam family "Bacterial small subunit ribosomal RNA", at positions 8 to 641 of the family's 1533-position model. The record is from RNAcentral. Lineage: Bacteria; Pseudomonadati; Pseudomonadota; Alphaproteobacteria; Hyphomicrobiales; Nitrobacteraceae.